RNAcentral lists this ribosomal RNA (459 nucleotides) under uncultured bacterium. RNAcentral's name for it is "partial 16S ribosomal RNA". It matches the Rfam family "Bacterial small subunit ribosomal RNA", at positions 338 to 795 of the family's 1533-position model. The record is from RNAcentral.
CCUACGGGAGGCUGCAGUGAGGAAUAUUGGUCAAUGGGCGCGAGCCUGAACCAGCCAAGUCGCGUGAGGGAAGACGGCCCUAUGGAUUGUAAACCUCUUUUGUCGGGGAGCAAAAGCCGCCACGCGUGGCGUUCCGAGAGUCCCCGAAGAAAAAGCAUCGGCUAACUCCGUGCCAGCAGCCGCGGUAAUACGGAGGAUGCGAGCGUUAUCCGGAUUUUGUGGGUUUAAAGGGUGCGCAGGCGGAAGAUUAAGUCAGCGGUAAAAUAGAGGGGCUCAACCUCUUCGAGCCGUUGAAACUGGUAUUCUUGAGUGGGCGAGAAGUAUGCGGAAUGCGUGGUGUAGCGGUGAAAUGCAUAGAUAUCACGCAGAACUCCGAUUGCGAAGGCAGCAUACCGGCGCUCAACUGACGCUCAUGCACGAAAGUGUGGGUAUCGAACAGGAUUAGAUACCCGAGUAGUC